RNAcentral lists this ribosomal RNA (497 nucleotides) under uncultured bacterium. RNAcentral describes it as "partial 16S ribosomal RNA". It matches the Rfam family "Bacterial small subunit ribosomal RNA", at positions 28 to 507 of the family's 1533-position model. The record is from RNAcentral.
GAUGAACGCUGGCGGCGUGCCUAAUACAUGCAAGUCGAGCGAACGGACGAGAAGCUUGCUUCUCUGAUGUUAGCGGCGGACGGGUGAGUAACACGUGGAUAACCUACCUAUAAGACUGGGAUAACUUCGGGAAACCGGAGCUAAUACCGGAUAAUAUUUUGAACCGCAUGGUUCAAAAGUGAAAGACGGUCUUGCUGUCACUUAUAGAUGGAUCCGCGCUGCAUUAGCUAGUUGGUAAGGUAGCGGCUUACCAAGGCAACGAUGCAUAGCCGACCUGAGAGGGUGAUCGGCCACACUGGAACUGAGACACGAUCCAGACUCCUACGGGAGGCAGCAGUAGGGAAUCUUCCGCAAUGGGCGAAAGCCUGACGGAGCAACGCCGCGUGAGUGAUGAAGGUCUUCGGAUCGUAAAACUCUGUUAUUAGGGAAGAACAUAUGUGUAAGUAACUGUGCACAUCUUGACGGUACCUAAUCAGAAAGCCACGGCUAACUACGUG